This 685-nucleotide long non-coding RNA is filed under the name Homo sapiens (human). Its description in RNAcentral is "non-protein coding lnc-C1orf109-1:2". Lineage: Eukaryota; Metazoa; Chordata; Mammalia; Primates; Hominidae. The record is from RNAcentral.
GUGGCGGCUCUGCAAUACCCCAAGCUCUGGAGGGCUGGGGGCCUACUAGGUCAGGUCGGCUGUAGGAUUCUGCUCCAGGGUUGGCGGCUGCUUCUUUCUGGCCUGGCUGCCACUGAGUAGCCGAGGGGCCGCCGUGACCCUCUGACUGAUUGACUGGCUGGCUGCCUACGUCGGCGCUCCUCAGGGCCCCAAGCUCCUCAGGCCGAACUUCGGGAAGGCGACCGGCAGCCUCGGGCAGGGGAGACAGGACUGUAUGUCAGAGAAGAGACGGCGCUUGGACGCCAGGAAUCCUCUGAAGCAGGAGACUGCCCUAUCCAGGUUACCCUUCCCGAGGGGAAACCAGGGUCUCCUUCAGAAAGCUGAGGCAGGCCGGGCGCGGUGGCUCACGCCUGUAAUCCCAGCACUUUGGAAGACCGAGGCGGGCGGAUCACCUGAGCAGAAGAUGACUCAAGACCGGCCUCUGCUUGCCGUGCAGGAGGCGCUGAAGAAGUGCUUCCCCGUGGUGGAGGAGCAGCAGGGCCUGUGGCAGAGUGCCCUGCGGGACUGCCAGCCCCUCCUGUCCUCCCUCAGCAACCUGGCGGAACAGCUGCAGGCCGCACAGAACCUGCGGUUUGAGGAUGUGCCGGCGCUUCGGGCCUUCCCAGAUUUAAAAGAGCGGCUGAGGCGUAAGCAGCUGGUGGCUGGU